Molecule: ribosomal RNA, 467 nt
Filed under: uncultured bacterium
Lineage: Bacteria
Description: partial 16S ribosomal RNA
Rfam family: Bacterial small subunit ribosomal RNA
Source: RNAcentral
GACGAACGCUGGCGGCGUGCUUAACACAUGCAAGUCGAACGGAAAGGCCCUGCUUUUGUGGGGUGCUCGAGUGGCGAACGGGUGAGUAACACGUGAGUAACCUGCCCUUGACUUUGGGAUAACUUCAGGAAACUGGGGCUAAUACCGGAUAGGAGCUCCUGCUGCAUGGUGGGGGUUGGAAAGUUUCGGCGGUUGGGGAUGGACUCGCGGCUUAUCAGCUUGUUGGUGGGGUAGUGGCUUACCAAGGCUUUGACGGGUAGCCGGCCUGAGAGGGUGACCGGCCACAUUGGGACGGGGAUACGGCCCAGACUCCUACGGGAGGCAGCAGUGGGGAAUAUUGCACAAUGGGCGGAAGCCUGAUGCAGCAACGCCGCGUGCGGGAUGACGGCCUUCGGGUUGUAAACCGCUUUCGCCUGUGACGAAGCGUGAGUGACGGUAAUGGGGAAAGAAGCACCGGCUAACUACGU